This 3534-nucleotide long non-coding RNA is filed under the name Equus asinus (donkey). RNAcentral's name for it is "lncRNA (ENSEASG00005032959.1)". Lineage: Eukaryota; Metazoa; Chordata; Mammalia; Perissodactyla; Equidae. The record is from RNAcentral.
GCUAUUUCAAUCGUGAGCCAAUAGAAAACCAUCCUUUGCAUUUGGCGGCAGAGCUCAGGUUUAACCCUUAACCUUUUCGGGCUCUGGCUCGGGCUCGGAGAGAACAUCACUCCCCAGGUUCCUGACCAGCGGGGACGCUGAAAGAGCGACCUCAACAGUGGACGCCGAGGCCUACGGGAAACGUAGUCUUGACUCCUUCUGGCUCCCCGCGCGGCGCUCUGGGAAGGGGAUUCCGGGAUCCCUCUGCGCAUGUGCAGCCGUAGCCCCGCCUCCUCCCUCGUCUUCUCAGGACUCCGCGGGAGCCGUUAAGUACCUCAGUCUCCUCGGGAAGUGGAGGGCGCGCCCGGGAGGCUGCGCUGCUGUCAGACAUGUCCAUCACCACAUGUGACAUUAAUGACAUCAUCCUGACCUCGCAGGAUCCCAGAAUAAUGAUGCUUGAAGGAUUUUCCAAAGUCGUCUACUUUAAUUCUUGAAAACUUUAAAGACAUUGGACCUGAAAGUUUCAGUGACUUGUCCAGGGAAACCUGGUUUAUGACAGAGUUAGAAGGAAAACUGCAGUUCCCUCUCAGGUGUCACCAAAAGCAUCUUAUCAAAGGGGCCUUCUGAGGAAUACAUCCCAGCUGAAACGAACAAAAGUUCCUGCCUUCAAGCAUCCCAUCUCUUUUCUGUGAAUUGUCUGUACCAAGAGCUGAGCCACAGUUCUCUACACUCACCCAGGAGCCACAGAAAGUGAACAUCCUUCAGGGGACUCUAAACAUCGGGAGUAGAGAAACAUGCCCUUGCCAUAUUGUGCUCUCUAGCUCUGCACGGCCCCCUGUCAGCACCAUUGGCUGACAAGACUAUCCUUUCUCCAUUGAAUUACCUUGGCACCUCUGUGGGAAGUCAACCGGCAAUGUAUGUAUGGUUUGUUUCGGACUCUGUUCACUUCUGAUGAUCUGUGUUAAUCCUUUUGCUAAUACCACACUGUCUUGGUGACUCUCUCUUUACGGUAAGUCUUGAAAUCAGGUAGUGUAAGUCUUCCAACUUUGUCCUUUUUUAAAAUCGUUUUGGAUAUUCUAGGUUCUUUGCUUCUUUAUAGAAAGUUUUAAAAAUCAGCUUGCCUAUCUCAAAAGAGCCUGCUGAGAUUUUGGUUUUGAUUGCACAGAUUCUAUAGAAUUUGUGGCAUAGUUCAAUUUGGGGAGAAAUUGAAUCUUGAUCCUAAUGAGUCUUCCAGUUCCUGAACACGGUAUCCCUCUCCAUUUAGUUCAGUAAUACGGAGGGUUUGGGUUUUUAUCCUUUUGAAUCAAAAGGAGUGUUUUAAGUUACAGUUUAAAAGAAUAACACUGUCUACUGUUUGAAGAUAGACUCUAGUGGGUCAGUGGUGGAAGCAGGUACAAUGUAGGAGGCUAUUUCUGUAAUCCUAGCAAGAAAUGAUGAUCCCAGGGUGUUAGUUACUUUGAAGUGGUCAGGUUUUAGGUGUAAUUGAGGUUAGAGCCAAGAGUUUGAGAGCACGCGUUUCCUCCCUACAACCUUGCAAAUAGAGUGUGCAUCAAACUUUGGAUUUUUACCAGUGUGACCUACAACUGAUCUCAGUUUAGUUCUGUAAGCUUUGCUCUUCUCAUGAGUAGGUGGGACAUCGUUUUUUGUUUUUAGUUCAUGAUAUUUCUUUGUUGUUGAACUCUUUAUCUCUUACCCAUUUUCCUAUUAAUGUGCUGAUUUUAAUGACUGCAUCCAGUAUACCCUUAUAGCACUUUUUCUGUGAUGUAAAUUGCAGAAUUUUCCUACAAUUUUUUGUAUUUUUGUCUUACUUGUGGGUUUUUGUUUGUUUUUUUUUUUCUUUUACCAUAAAGGCAUUUGAUUUUUACAAUGUCAAAUUUAGCAAUUUUUAUUUUCUGAUUCCUGGAUUUUCAGUCAUAGUUGGGCAUUUCCCGCUCUAAACAUAAGAUCAUUGUUCUGUAUAGUCUUCUAGAAUGUGGUGUUAUUUCUUGCAUUUCGAUCUUGAAUGCAUAUUAUUUUAUCCUGCUCUCUGGUGUGAGAGAGAGAUCUAACUGUCUUUUCUCAGGUGGCCCCCAGCUAUCCCUGUGACAUUAGAGUCCAGCCUUUCCUCACUCAUUUGAAUGACGUCACCUGUAUUCAGAUAGGAAGUUUACUCUGUUAAUCAUUCUUCUCACCACACACUUUGUUCCGGGUCUUGCUCGCUUGAAGCUUGGACAUCUUUCUGGGCUCUCAUCAGUGCCUUGCUCCUUCUGCCCACUUCUCUGUUUUUGUUAGAUUGUGGGCUACAUUGUCCUGUCUUUCUUAUCUAAUACAGUCUUACCCUGUGUCUUCCAGAGUUUGUUCAAAUUUUUGGGCCUUCUGCUGGGACAUUUCUCUGUAUUCCUUUUCAGUCGUGCUUUCAUAGUAGGUUUUGUAUUUUAUGUGAGUGUUUUUGGAGGCAGGGGAUGUAAGUAUGUGUGCUGAGUAUUCCCUUGAACUAGGGUAAUCAUUUAUGCUUCUAAUUCUCUCUUCCUUUAAUUUCCAGUGCUCUAAUCUUUCUGCUUUCUCUUUCCACCAUUUAGAAAUUCUUUCUCAGCCUUCAUGGCGUGUUCAUUUUCUGCUUGCCCCUUCAAUUUUGCUGUUUGCCUGAAUUCUGUAUUUGGUGCCUUUUCUCUCCUCAGUUUCUAUGUCCUUUGUGAACCAUCCUUUUUUCUCUGAUGACUUCAGUUACCAUCUAAAUGAUUAAUGUCUCCGAAAUUGUAAUUUUCAUUUUAGACCUCCCUCUCUGUUCCAAAAUCGUGUGACAACAGUGAAAUAAAUAAUUCCAUCUGUAUGUUCCACAGGUGUUUUGAGUGUAAGUGGAAAACAUCUGCCUCACUGUGAUGCAACCUCUGACUGUUAUUUAUUCUUCCAAUCCCCGUGUAUGGCAUUAGCAUCUACGCAGUUGCUUGUGCAGCAUCACUGUGUUUAACUGCACAAGAAAAUAAUGACCAGAUUUUGCUUCCUAUAAGGAUUAGUUUCUCAUUCAUUAUCUUUGUUGCUUUGUCUUAAUAUAAGUCCUCUCUUAAAUUAAGUCUUUUGUUUUGCUGGUUAAGACGUUGUCCACUAUUCAUAUAGAGCAAUGAUUCCUAAUAAGGAUCAAUUUUGCUCCCCAGGGGACGUUUGGCAAUAUUUGGAGAUAUUUUUGAUUGUCACAACUGGGGAUGCUACUGGCAUCUGAUCAGUAGAAGACAAGGAUACCGAUAAAGAUCCUAAAAUAUACAGGACAGUUUUCCACAAAAAUAGCACUAUCUGAUCCACAUUGUCAGUAGUGCCAAGUUGAAGAAACCCUGUUCUAGAGCAUUGCUCCUGAAAUAUAAAUCUGGUGGUGUGUAAUACCUCCCUGGGCUUACAUGUCUCUCCUAUUGGUUCCAUGUUACUCCAGCAGAGAUCUCCAGGCUGGGGUGUGUAUACUCUGCAGAGUGCUCAGCAUAAUCCGUUGGUGUAUGGGAAAUAUAUACAAGAAUCCUAUUUAGAGUAACUUUACCUUAAAAAAUAAGGCACUAGGCUUUCUCAUUAUAUUAAGUGACAAUAUAUGUG